UCCAAGGCACCCUGCGGACUAGGAGCGGCGGCCGCCGGAGCCCGCAGGGGGGAGCCGGGUAGGGCCGGAAGGGGGAGCUUUCCUCUGAAGCAGACGAGGUUGAGGUGCUGCUGCGCCCGUGAUGGAGGCAGGAGGAUUCGAUGUCGGUGGGAUCGAUUGGGUUGCAGGGGACCGCGACACUCCUUCAGAGAAGGCCAGUGUCUCCCUCACCGUCAUUUCGCCGAUGUGAAGGUCAUGCUGCCCGAUGUACGCUGAUGUCCUCUGGGGGACAAAUUCAUGCAUGUCAUGCCCGUUAGUCGAAGGUGGCGAAGUAUGAAAUGCAUCCUGGCUUCGGUAGGCGCACUGGUUUGACUUUGGAAGGUGCUCUACGUCGGUGCCCAAGCUACGCGGCUUCUUGAGUGUCUCCGGCUGCCUGGUCAUCGCUGUAGGGAGCUGCUUAGGAUAGCUUGGCACUGAUCCAUCUAUAUUAGCCCAAGACUUUAAAUUCCUCCAUGUUUGCAAUAAUUUGUCGUAGCUACUUUGUGUUGUGACCGAGAGCUGUGAAAUGUUUAUGAUGUCGGAUACUUGGCCUUGAAUUUUUUAAUAAAAAAUUGGGGCA
Triticum dicoccoides is the source of this 598-nucleotide long non-coding RNA. RefSeq lists it as uncharacterized. The record is from RefSeq and is a predicted model, not a curated record. NCBI's taxonomy places the organism in Eukaryota, Viridiplantae, Streptophyta, Magnoliopsida, Poales, Poaceae. The transcript is spliced from 3 exons.